CAUGCAAGUCGAACGAGAGAGAAGGAGCUUGCUUCUUCGAUCGAGUGGCGAACGGGUGAGUAACGCGUGAGGAACCUGGCUCAAAGAGGGGGACAACAGUUGGAAACGACUGCUAAUACCGCAUAAGCCCACGGGUCGGCAUCGACCUGAGGGAAAAGGAGCAAUCCGCUUUGAGAUGGCCUCGCGUCCGAUUAGCUAGUUGGUGAGGUAACGGCCCACCAAGGCGACGAUCGGUAGCCGGACUGAGAGGUUGAACGGCCACAUUGGGACUGAGACACGGCCCAGACUCCUACGGGAGGCAGCAGUGGGGAAUAUUGCACAAUGGGGGAAACCCUGAUGCAGCGACGCCGCGUGGAGGAAGAAGGUCUUCGGAUUGUAAACUCCUGUUGUUGAGGAAGAUAAUGACGGUACUCAACAAGGAAGUGACGGCUAACUACGUGCCAGCAGCCGCGGUAAAACGUAGGUCACAAGCGUUGUCCGGAAUUACUGGGUGUAAAGGGGGCGCAGGCGGGAAGACAAGUUGGAAGUGAAAUCUAUGGGCUCAACCCAUAAACUGCUUUCAAAACUGUUUUUCUUGAGUAGUGCAGAGGUAGGCGGAAUUCCCGGUGUAGCGGUGGAAUGCGUAGAUAUCGGGAGGAACACCAGUGGCGAAGGCGGCCUACUGGGCACCAACUGACGCUGAGGCUCGAAAGUGUGGGUAGCAAACAGGAUUAGAUACCCUGGUAGUCCACACCGUAAACGAUGAUUACUAGGUGUUGGAGGAUUGACCCCUUCAGUGCCGCAGUUAACACAAUAAGUAAUCCACCUGGGGAGUACGACCGCAAGGUUGAAACUCAA
This 837-nucleotide ribosomal RNA is filed under the name uncultured bacterium. RNAcentral's name for it is "bacterial SSU rRNA". It matches the Rfam family "Bacterial small subunit ribosomal RNA", at positions 54 to 904 of the family's 1533-position model. The record is from RNAcentral.